Molecule: long non-coding RNA, 280 nt
Organism: Stegodyphus dumicola
Lineage: Eukaryota; Metazoa; Arthropoda; Arachnida; Araneae; Eresidae
Source: RefSeq, a predicted model, not a curated record
AUUUUUAUCUAUUUUUAUGUAUUAAUAAAGAAUAUGUUUUGUGAUCUUACAAUUUCCGUCUACACCUAUUUUUGGAUUACAAGUUAAUUAGGCAUGAUCUCGCUUGAUGCUGCGCUGGGUACAAGGGGCCCAUUCGUGCCUAAGUGGUAAAGUCACCGAACGCUGAUACUUGAAAUCCUGGCUGCAUGGGUUUUUUUUUGUGGUUUCCUAUUUACAACAUGGAUAUGAGCCAAUUUUCCCCAGAAAGUCUUCCAGGAAGGCAUCCCUCCCCUUAGGCAGG